GGCUUCUAGUAGCUCAGUUGCUUAGAGCAUGGUGCUGGUAACAGCAAGGUUGCAGGUCCAAUCCCUGUACAGGCUU
This is a non-coding RNA of Podarcis lilfordi (Lilford's wall lizard), 76 nucleotides long. Lineage: Eukaryota; Metazoa; Chordata; Lepidosauria; Squamata; Lacertidae. The record is from the annotation of a GenBank genome assembly.